UGAAACCCUAUGACCGGGAAGAGUAGAUACCGGCGUUUAGUCAAAGCGAGCUCGGGAGGGUGGGAGCCGAGUACUGUAGCCGGUAUUGAAUGGGCCCGCGAGGGGAACUGCGAAAUCAAAGUAGCAGUCUCCGGUGAGCCUACCGUUAAAAAGGCAGGGUAUCGAGAGCAAUCUCCGUACCCGAAAGAGUGGUCCUGUGUUAAAAAGGUGGCACAAGCAUUUCAUCCUUUUGGUGAAAUGCUUUUUUUUAAAUACAGGACAAAUUGGGUGGCACCGCGGUCACUCCGCCCCAAUG
RNAcentral lists this non-coding RNA (295 nucleotides) under Caldanaerobacter subterraneus subsp. tengcongensis. RNAcentral describes it as "Thermoanaerobacter tengcongensis T-box sequence". It matches the Rfam family "T-box leader". Rfam says of the family: Uncharged tRNA acts as the effector for transcription antitermination of genes in the T-box leader family. T-boxes are found upstream of many aminoacyl-tRNA synthetase genes and some amino acid biosynthetic genes usually in Gram-positive bacteria. Lineage: Bacteria; Bacillati; Bacillota; Clostridia; Thermoanaerobacterales; Thermoanaerobacteraceae. The record is from RNAcentral.